Molecule: ribosomal RNA, 229 nt
Filed under: uncultured bacterium
Lineage: Bacteria
Description: partial 16S ribosomal RNA
Rfam family: Bacterial small subunit ribosomal RNA
Source: RNAcentral
UGCGUAGGCGGUAUAUUAAGUCAGUGGUGAAAUCCUGCGGCUCAACCGUAGAACUGCCAUUGAUACUGAUAUUCUUGAAUAUAGUUGAGGUAGGCGGAAUGUGUAAUGUAGCGGUGAAAUGCUUAGAUAUUACACAGAACACCGAUUGCGAAGGCAGCUUACUAAACUAUUAUUGACGCUGAUGUACGAAAGCGUGGGGAGCGAACAGGAUUAGAUACCCUGGUAGUCC